Molecule: transfer RNA, 75 nt
Filed under: Polaromonas sp. YR568
Lineage: Bacteria; Pseudomonadati; Pseudomonadota; Betaproteobacteria; Burkholderiales; Comamonadaceae
Description: tRNA_Met_CAT
Rfam family: tRNA
About the family: Transfer RNA (tRNA) molecules are approximately 80 nucleotides in length. Their secondary structure includes four short double-helical elements and three loops (D, anti-codon, and T loops). Further hydrogen bonds mediate the characteristic L-shaped molecular structure. tRNAs have two regions of fundamental functional importance: the anti-codon, which is responsible for specific mRNA codon recognition, and the 3' end, to which the tRNAs corresponding amino acid is attached (by aminoacyl-tRNA synthetases). tRNAs cope with the degeneracy of the genetic code in two manners: having more than one tRNA (with a specific anti-codon) for a particular amino acid; and 'wobble' base-pairing, i.e. permitting non-standard base-pairing at the 3rd anti-codon position.
Source: RNAcentral
GGUUGCAUAGCUCAGCGGCAGAGCAGCGGGCUCAUAACCCGCCGGUCGUUGGCUCAAUCCCAACUGCAACCACCA